This is a long non-coding RNA of Serinus canaria (Common canary), 1103 nucleotides long. RefSeq lists it as uncharacterized. NCBI's taxonomy places the organism in Eukaryota, Metazoa, Chordata, Aves, Passeriformes, Fringillidae. The record is from RefSeq and is a predicted model, not a curated record. The transcript has 3 exons.
AUUUACUUCAGCAAUUAUCUCUAAGCAGGACUGCAGUGCCACACAACCGAGGUGCUCCUCUGCCUGCUGAAAAGCCACUAAAUCUUGGAAACUGACCAUGAAAUCUAAAAACAGAACAGAGAUGAUGGCUGGAGCAGCACUUCCUCAGAAAAAGAGUUGUGGAAAUGUCAAACACAAUGAGCUGUUUGCCUCUCAGAUGAUGUGUGACAGAGGAGACUGUACAGCACGGGGCAAUCCCAACCUGCCAUCCCAGGCUCAGUGGUGGCUGCAGCACUGCCAGCACUGCCAGCUCUGACAUUCAGUGCACAGAGAUGCCCUGAGGAAGGUCACAGAACCAUGGAAUCAUUAAGCCCUCCAAGGAGCUUGGUGAUUUCACCUCUCCCCUCAGGAGGAAGGAUGGGUGCCCGGAGCACAUUUGGAUGGGGCAUCUCCAGUCUUCACACUGCAGCAUCUGCUGAUCCAGGGGAAUAAACAGAAAUUUCUCUGUGUCACACACAAAACUCUUCUGCUUCCAUUGCCCAUGUGUAUUAAAAGCAAGCAUGAUAACAGAGUUAUCCAUACCAGCAGUGUCAGUAUUUUUAUGCCGACUGUAAAAAUAUCCUGAACAAUUUAUGCUGAAGAAACCAGCAUCUCUCUCAAAUGCAGCAUUGCUGGGGCCAACAUAUUCCUCUUCCAGACAACUGAAUAUUGAAAAGAAUGCAAAACACACCGAAAAAGCAGAACCUGUCAGUCAUCCCCUGGCAGCUCUCAGCACUGGAAAGGAUGGAUGAAGAAAUCAAACAUGGCCAUCUAUAUCCAGUCACUUGAAUGCUGAGCUCAGAGGUAACUCCUUGGGAGGUGGGAUACAGACUUUGCUCUGGGAUGGGCUCUAAAUGUCCGGGCUCUGCAGCUGAAUGGACAUACUGCUCUGCUGCAGGGCAUAGCAAAGCCAUUGCCAGCACCUGCUUGACAAAGCCAUGGCAGGAUGCAAGCAGAGAGGAGUCCUGCAAGCCCUGCCAGGACCCUCAACAGCAGUGGAACAGCUACAGCUGAUGCAGGAGCUGUGUACAAGGUUAUCCUUGGGAAGCCAGGCAUUCCUGGCUUCUUCUCUGAGGGGCUAUGUG